CAGCCCUUGGCGUCCCGGUCGCGGUUUCCAGAGAUGGAUUCCUUCAGUUCGGCUGGACCGGAGACAGGUGCUGCAUGGCUGUCGUCAGCUCGUGUCGUGAGAUGUUGGGUUAAGUCCCGCAACGAGCGCAACCCCCGCCCUUAGUUGCUACCAUUUAGUUGAGCACUCUAAGGAGGCUGCCGGUGAUAAGCCGCGAGGAAGGUGGGGAUGACGUCAAGUCCUCAUGGCCCUUACGGGCUGGGCUACACACGUGCUACAAUGGCGGUGACAAUGGGACGCUAAGGGGCAACCCUUCGCAAAUCUCAAAAAGCCGUCUCAGUUCGGAUUGGGCUCUGCAACUCGAGCCCAUGAAGUUGGAAUCGCUAGUAAUCGUGGAUCAGC
This 381-nucleotide ribosomal RNA is filed under the name uncultured bacterium. Its description in RNAcentral is "bacterial SSU rRNA". It matches the Rfam family "Bacterial small subunit ribosomal RNA", at positions 975 to 1353 of the family's 1533-position model. The record is from RNAcentral.